AGUCGUAACAAGGUUUCCGUAGGUGAACCUGCGGAAGGAUCAUUAACAAAUUACAUUCACACGUGUUUACACAACUACUACCAAACCUUAUAAACAUCAAUACUAAAUCAAAACUUUCAACAACGGAUCUCUUGGUUCUCGCAUCGAUGAAGAACGCAGCGAAAUGCGAUACGUAAUAUGAAUUGCAAGUCUUGUGAAUCAUCGAAUCUUUGAACGCACAUUGCGCCCGGGGGCAUUCUCCCGGGCAUGCCUGUUUGAGCGGUGUUUCUCUCUCGCAAGGUGUUGGACAGCACUGCAAGUCUGUCUCAAAGUGGCCAGGUCUAAUGUACUACGCUUCAUUACCGCCUUUUCGACAUCACCCCCAAAUCAGGUAGGACUACCCGCUGAACUUAAGCAUAUCAAUAA
RNAcentral lists this unclassified non-coding RNA (405 nucleotides) under Diutina ranongensis (nom. inval.). Its description in RNAcentral is "sequence contains 18S rRNA gene, ITS1, 5.8S rRNA gene, ITS2, 28S rRNA gene". The stretch from base 112 to 264 matches the Rfam family "5.8S ribosomal RNA". Lineage: Eukaryota; Fungi; Ascomycota; Pichiomycetes; Serinales; Debaryomycetaceae. The record is from RNAcentral.